AAGUCGUAACAAGGUUUCCGUAGGUGAACCUGCGGAAGGAUCAUUAAAAGGUUUAUCUAGGGGUGGGUGAAACCCCCCUAGGAAACUCCACCCUUGUGUAUUAUUACUUGUUGCUUUGGUGGGCCGCGAGAUUGCCUAGCGAUUGAGCACCGGCUUCGGCUGGAGAGCGCCUGCCAGAGGACCAAACUCUGUUAUUUUAUGUCGUCUGAGUACUAUUUAAUAGUUAAAACUUUCAACAACGGAUCUCUUGGUUCUG
This 256-nucleotide unclassified non-coding RNA is filed under the name fungal sp. RNAcentral's name for it is "partial internal transcribed spacer region". The stretch from base 1 to 46 matches the Rfam family "Eukaryotic small subunit ribosomal RNA", at positions 1786 to 1831 of the family's 1831-position model. Lineage: Eukaryota; Fungi. The record is from RNAcentral. RNAcentral also lists the same sequence under 1 other name.